GAUGAAGAACGUAGCGAAAUGCGAUAACUAGUGUGAAUUGCAGAAUUCAGUGAACCAUCGAGUCUUUGAACGCACAUUGCGGCCGCCGGUAUCCCGGCGGCCACGCCUGGUAUUCCGGGGGGCAUGCCUGUCCGAGCGUCAUUGCUGCCCUCAAGCACGGCUUGUGUGUUGGGCUUCCGUCCCUGGCAACGGGGACGGGCCCAAAAGGCAGUGGCGGCACCAUGUCUGGUCCUCGAGCGUAUGGGGCUUUGUCACCCGCUCCCGUAGGUCCAGCUGGCAGCUAGCCUCGCAACCAAUCUUUUUAACCAGGUUGACCUCGGAUCAGGUAGGGAUACCCGCUGAACUUAAGCAUAUCAAUAAGCGGAGGA
RNAcentral lists this unclassified non-coding RNA (368 nucleotides) under soil metagenome. RNAcentral's name for it is "partial contains 5.8S ribosomal RNA, internal transcribed spacer 2, and large subunit ribosomal RNA". The stretch from base 1 to 115 matches the Rfam family "5.8S ribosomal RNA", at positions 35 to 154 of the family's 154-position model. The record is from RNAcentral.